GACGAACGCUGGCGGCGUGCUUAACACAUGCAAGUCGAACGGUGAAGCUCCAGCUUGCUGGAGUGGAUCAGUGGCGAACGGGUGAGUAACACGUGAGCAACCUGCCCCUGACUCUGGAAUAAGCGCUGGAAACGGCGUCUAAUACUGGAUACGAGAAGGGUCCGCAUGGGCACUUUCUGGAAAGUUUUUCGGUUGGGGAUGGGCUCGCGGCCUAUCAGCUUGUUGGUGAGGUAAUGGCUCACCAAGGCGACGACGGGUAGCCGGCCUGAGAGGGCGACCGGCCACACUGGGACUGAGACACGGCCCAGACUCCUACGGGAGGCAGCGGUGGGGAAUAUUGCACAAUGGGCGGAAGCCUGAUGCAGCGACGCCGCGUGAGGGAUGACGGCCUUCGGGUUGUAAACCUCUUUCAGCAGGGAAGAAGCGAAAGUGACGGUACCUGCAGAAGAAGCACCGGCUAACUACGUG
This 468-nucleotide ribosomal RNA is filed under the name uncultured bacterium. RNAcentral's name for it is "partial 16S ribosomal RNA". It matches the Rfam family "Bacterial small subunit ribosomal RNA", at positions 28 to 507 of the family's 1533-position model. The record is from RNAcentral.